This 1373-nucleotide ribosomal RNA is filed under the name uncultured bacterium. Its description in RNAcentral is "bacterial SSU rRNA". It matches the Rfam family "Bacterial small subunit ribosomal RNA", at positions 28 to 1381 of the family's 1533-position model. The record is from RNAcentral.
GAUGAACGCUGGCGGCGUGCCUAAUACAUGCAAGUCGAGCGAACGGACGAGAAGCUUGCUUCUCUGAUGUUAGCGGCGGACGGGUGAGUAACACGUGGAUAACCUACCUAUAAGACUGGGAUAACUUCGGGAAACCGGAGCUAAUACCGGAUAAUAUUUUGAACCGCAUGGUUCAAAAGUGAAAGACGGUCUUGCUGUCACUUAUAGAUGGAUCCGCGCUGCAUUAGCUAGUUGGUAAGGUAACGGCUUACCAAGGCAACGAUGCAUAGCCGACCUGAGAGGGUGAUCGGCCACACUGGAACUGAGACACGGUCCAGACUCCUACGGGAGGCAGCAGUAGGGAAUCUUCCGCAAUGGGCGAAAGCCUGACGGAGCAACGCCGCGUGAGUGAUGAAGGUCUUCGGAUCGUAAAACUCUGUUAUUAGGGAAGAACAUAUGUGUAAGUAACUGUGCACAUCUUGACGGUACCUAAUCAGAAAGCCACGGCUAACUACGUGCCAGCAGCCGCGGUAAUACGUAGGUGGCAAGCGUUAUCCGGAAUUAUUGGGCGUAAAGCGCGCGUAGGCGGUUUUUUAAGUCUGAUGUGAAAGCCCACGGCUCAACCGUGGAGGGUCAUUGGAAACUGGAAAACUUGAGUGCAGAAGAGGAAAGUGGAAUUCCAUGUGUAGCGGUGAAAUGCGCAGAGAUAUGGAGGAACACCAGUGGCGAAGGCGACUUUCUGGUCUGUAACUGACGCUGAUGUGCGAAAGCGUGGGGAUCAAACAGGAUUAGAUACCCUGGUAGUCCACGCCGUAAACGAUGAGUGCUAAGUGUUAGGGGGUUUCCGCCCUUUAGUGCUGCAGCUAACGCAUUAAGCACUCCGCCUGGGGAGUACGACCGCAAGGUUGAAACUCAAAGGAAUUGACGGGGGACCCGCACAAGCGGUGGAGCAUGUGGUUAAACUCGAAGCAACGCAAAGAACCUUACCAAAUCUUGACAUCCUUUGACAACUCUAGAGAUAGAGCCUUCCUCUUCGGGGGACAAAGUGACAGGUGGUGCAUGGUUGUCGUCAGCUCGUGUCGUGAGAUGUUGGGUUAAGUCCCGCAACGAGCGCAACCCUUAAGCUUAGUUGCCAUCAUUAAGUUGGGCACUCUAAGUUGACUGCCGGUGACAAACCGGAGGAAGGUGGGGAUGACGUCAAAUCAUCAUGCCCCUUAUGAUUUGGGCUACACACGUGCUACAAUGGACAAUACAAAGGGCAGCGAAACCGCGAGGUCAAGCAAAUCCCAUAAAGUUGUUCUCAGUUCGGAUUGUAGUCUGCAACUCGACUACAUGAAGCUGGAAUCGCUAGUAAUCGUAGAUCAGCAUGCUACGGUGAAUACGUUCCCGGGUCU